AGAGGUGGAUAGGCAACCAUUGGGAUUUCUUGAGGAGUGAGGAAACAUGGCCUGAAUGGUUUUUGUAGAAGGUAGUGUCCAUUCCUCGGGGAGGGCCGGUCUCUCCAAGUGGAGAGCAAGGACAUCCGCAUCACACAUCUUCCUGCCCCUGCCAGGUUUUCCUGUCCGAUUCCCCAUCCCUCCGGCCCUCACGAGGAGGAAGUCUGCUGCAGGAGGUGACAGGACACAAUGGGGACUGAACGUUUUUGUUUUGGGCCUAGGUCCUGUCAGAGCAACAGGAACUGAACUCCUUAGGCAUGACCCUGUCGGAACGUGGUUCAGGAAAAGGCCAGCACAUCUCAGCCGCUUGGAACGGCAGCCCGUCGACAUCAGUCACAUCUGCAGACUGACCUAUCGGAAGGAGGAGGGCACGUAACAUCAUGGGAUGUGAAACUCUUCGGACCAGAUUGUCACUGGUGCCUGUUCAGAGACUUCACUUCUGCCCCAAUGUUGUUUCAUUGAAAACUGUGUCCUCGUACUGGGGAAGAGAAAGAAAGGGGUGCCUCACAAUGGGAGCCCUUUCCCCAAGAGAACCAUUGCUGCUCAGGACUGCACACUUAGCACUGUGCUCUGCAUAAAGUGCGGCGCAAGAAAAGGUCCGGCGCAAACACAAAGAGCUUGGAGACACAAACAACCCUCCUCAGAGGCCAGUUUAAGGAGACUCACGACCCUCCUGGCGAAACUGAAAAGUCAUCUAGAUGAUCGGCUGCUUUCUUGGGACCAUCUGAUGGUGGAUACAAGUAGUUCAACAUUCAAGUGGGUAACUCAUCACACCGUGACUCCCAGCCUCCUUGGGGCCCACUGGCUGGGCUAGAAAACUGGGCUGCUCACCCCAUUGCCCUAAAAGCAGCGUGGCUCGGUGGAAAGAGCACGGGCUUUGGA
Ornithorhynchus anatinus (platypus) is the source of this 921-nucleotide long non-coding RNA. RefSeq lists it as uncharacterized. The record is from RefSeq and is a predicted model, not a curated record. The transcript has 4 exons. NCBI's taxonomy places the organism in Eukaryota, Metazoa, Chordata, Mammalia, Monotremata, Ornithorhynchidae.